Molecule: ribosomal RNA, 396 nt
Filed under: uncultured bacterium
Lineage: Bacteria
Description: partial 16S ribosomal RNA
Rfam family: Bacterial small subunit ribosomal RNA
Source: RNAcentral
AUACGUAGGUGGCAAGCGUUAUCCGGAUUUACUGGGUGUAAAGGGCGCGUAGGCGGGGGUGCAAGUCAGAUGUGAAAUCUAUGGGCUUAACUCAUAAACUGCAUUUGAAACUGUAUCUCUUGAGUGCUGGAGAGGUAGACGGAAUUCCUUGUGUAGCGGUGAAAUGCGUAGAUAUAAGGAAGAACUCCAGUGGCGAAGGCGGUCUACUGGACAGUAACGGGCGCUGAGGCGCGAAAGCGUGGGGAGCAAAGUAGAUUAGAUACCCUAGUAGUCCACUCGAGAAACGAUGAAUACUAGGUGUGUGGGGACUGACCCCCUCCGUGCCUCAGUUAACACAGUAAGUAUUCCACCUGGGGAGUACGGCCUUAAGGUGGAAGCUCAAAGGUAUUGACGGGG